AGGGGACCUUCGGGCCUUUCGCUAACAGAUGAGCCUGCGUUGGAUUAGCUAGUUGGUGGGGUAAGGGCCCACCAAGGCGACGAUCCAUAGCUGGUCUGAGAGGACGAUCAGCCACACUGGGACUGAGACACGGCCCAGACUCCUACGGGAGGCAGCAGUGGGGAAUAUUGGACAAUGGGCGCAAGCCUGAUCCAGCAAUACCGCGUGUGUGAAGAAGGCCCUAGGGUUGUAAAGCACUUUCAAUUGGGAGGAAAACCCACCGGCCAAUACCCGGUGGCUUGACAUUACCUUUAGAGGAAGCACCGGCUAACUCCGUGCCAGCAGCCGCGGUAAUACGGAGGGUGCGAGCGUUAAUCGGAAUUACUGGGCGUAAAGCGUGCGUAGGCGGCCCGUUAAGUCAGAUGUGAAAGCCCCGGGCUCAACCUGGGAACUGCAUUUGAAACUGGCGGGCUAGAGUUUGGUAGAGGGGAGCGGAAUUUCAGGUGUAGCGGUGAAAUGCGUAGACAUCUGAAGGAACACCAGUGGCGAAGGCGGCUCCCUGGACCAGAACUGACGCUGAGGUACGAAAGCGUGGGUAGCAAACAGGAUUAGAUACCCUGGUAGUCCACGCCGUAAACGAUGUCGACUAGC
This 630-nucleotide ribosomal RNA is filed under the name uncultured bacterium. RNAcentral's name for it is "bacterial SSU rRNA". It matches the Rfam family "Bacterial small subunit ribosomal RNA", at positions 202 to 820 of the family's 1533-position model. The record is from RNAcentral.